GCACCUGAGGGCCCAAAGACCUGACUCUUAAGGUUUAUUAUGAGUUCCUAAAUUUAAAGCAUGAUAAGAUUCACAGUUUUCUUAAGACUCAUGCUACCUAAGCAGGGGUGGGGGAUUACAUUACGGGUUAUGUAGCUCCAGAGACCUUCUGGUCUGUCAGGGUACAUACCCAAGUUCAUUUAAUGUUGUGCCAUUGCCAUUUGACACUCCCCACCCCCCACCCCAUUUGACACAUUUAUUGUAUUUUGGUCUUCUUUAACACUUUUAAAAUACUUUUUCUAUGGCUAUUUAAUUUUGAAUAAUAUUGGGAUGAAAAGCAUGAAAUAUAUUUUAAGAAAAAUGGUUGUCGAACACAAUAUUCUUAAACAUGACUGAAAGCUUUCAGAGUUUAUAAUCUUGGUGCUUUAUGACACAGUUUAAUUCAUAGGCUUCAAGGGGAAGGCUUGAAAGUUCCAAGUUUAAUGUGUGAGCAUUUGCUUUAUUUGUUUCCGCAUAUUCCCCACCACUGAAGCCUAAGGGUUCUGGGAAUCAUGGCCACUGAGAUGUGCACUCUAGUCCCGUGCAAACAUUUCUUCUCAAAAGGGGAUGCCAACAUGAAUAGGGAGUGUGUCUUCUGGCCUGCCUUAACAUAUGCAGUGUCCCCACUAUUCUGCCCCUGUUCUUCCAACACUGAAGCAAGGUCUGAAAGAGGUUUUCUUAGCACAUUUAGCUGAAUAAGCUUAGAAGGCUCCUCACAAUUUAUUUAUUUGUUGUAUUUAUAUCUCACCUUUUCUCCAAGGAGCUCAGUGUGGUGUUAAUAGUUCUCCCCCUCCUCAUUUAAUCUCCACAACAACCCAUGAGUUCAGCUAGGCUGAAAGGCAGUGACUGGCUGAGUGGGGAUUUGAACCCUGUUCCAGUGGCGGACUUUGGGCUUUAAAAUCUCGGUGCCCCUGUUGUUUGUCAUUGUUGCGGCACCCUCGUGGCUCGGUGUACAUUGCAGGUGAACCGGUCAUGCUCCUCUAAAUCCACCUCUGUCUGUUCUCCCAGGUCAUAGUCCGACACUCUAACCACUAUACUGUAUCGCACUCAUCCUGGUAGUGCAAGGUUUCCAAUUGCAGAGAGUUCAGCUGAACACAUGUAGAAACCCACUUUUCAUUCUUUCUGGCUCAGUGUGAGAAAGUUGAAUAUGGGGCAGGGAUGCUUGGGGGGGGGGCAGCUCUAUGGCCCCUAUACAUGUUGGUAUUCCUGUUGAAGCUCCAUGUCUGAACACACCAAUAUUAAUUCUACCCACAGUGUUUUGGACACAAAAUCUAUUUUCAAAUGGGAGGAGAGUCCAGUAAACAACAAGAAGUCAGGAAAGUAUUUCUGUUUUUAAAAUCAAAUUAAGAACCCUGCUUGAUGGAAUUAAGAUAAAUUCUAUUUAGGCAUUAUUAAAUGGUAUCCAUGAAGGGGCAGCAGGCCCUGCCCAAUAAGGUUUCUGAUCGUGGCGGGGAUGGGGGACUGGGAGAUAGUUACAGUUGCCUUUAAGACAUCAAUCCUCAAAGUGGGUAGGUUAGAGGAGGGGCUGGUUCAUGGAUACAACUUGAAUAGGACCGUAAUCUAAAUAAGAAUGAAUGAAUGAACCAAACCAUAUUGUUUGUUUCAUCACUGUACAAUUCAGAAAUCAAACUCUUCAAUUCGUGGUACUUUAUUUAAUGAUUGUGUUCUGAACUGCCCUUCAUACAAUGGAUUCCAUGGCAGUGUAUAGAACUAGUAGUAUGAACUUGAAAUAAUAUACUACAUCAUAUGGAAAUGUUUAAACAACCAGCAUCACCAUGUCUAUAAAGCAGCUUUGGAGCUAAUGUACGUUGUCAGUCUGGAGAGAAAAUAAGCUGUUUAAAAUACAUAAGGAAAUGUGGAGAGAAUGUGGCUUGGCCUUUGUGUAUCAGUCAUUUUGUAGCGUCAGCAUCUUUCUGCAGUACACCUGCAUCCUUGGUCUGAGUGGUGUAGGUUAAUUAGAGGGAGGUGGUAGAGUAGCAGCUAUUGGACAGGAUUGUUUACUUUGGUCUCUUCCAAAUUGACAUUUCUGUGAAUGAUAGGAACAGUGUUGCAAAACGACAAAGCCAUAUCACGUAUAGCUGAUCAAUCAUUAAUACUGAAUAAACUAAAGGGAUAUCAAUAGUGCACAAUUAGUUCUAUGAAAUUAGCUUGUUAUUUGGUUGUCUUGUUUAUUUCUUUUUGUGUAUUAGGGGGCUUGAUUGUUAUCAUUAUUUAUUAAAUUUGAAUACUGCCCUUCAUCCAAAGAUCACAGUAAGUACGGCCUGAAUGAUUUUAGCAACUUCCCUAACUUUUAAAAAAAGUUAUUAUAUAAAAAUCACUUCACCACCCCAUCUCCUACCACACAGUUUGUACCUCAACUUAGUUCUCAUCAUGCCCACAUAGAUUAUAAUGCUGUGGUUUCGAAACCAUGCUAAAAUUUUCUGGGUUGGUACAGAAACAUGUACAAACCAUUAUGACAUAAAAUCUAGGAAUCUCACUUAUGGCAUAUAUGUAACUGCAUCCAAAGGCUGGAGAUAAUACAGGCUGGGAUCCUGGGAAUGGUGUUUGUUUGUUUGUUUCAGAGCUUUUCCACCUUUCUUCCACCUUAAUUACGUGCCCCAAUACGUCAUUUCUGACACCUGUUACUCUAAGUAGUGUCUCAGUGUCUUUAAUCUCAAUAUCCAUAUCAUUGCAGUAUUAGAUAGAUUUAAUUUUUUGGCCCCAACCACUAACUUCCUUUUUUCCCCCUACCAAAGAUCUGGCACUUUGUGAAAGGACAGUUCAUGCCAAACUGCUAUUUCAGGAUUGCAGUUGUGAGUCAUUGUUAUGCUGCUUUCUGGAGUGUAGCCACAUAGAUCCAAUAACUCCCACUUCCUCAAAAUGUAUAUAGUAUACGGAAAGACAUUUUGAGUGCACAAAUUGCCAUCCAAUUCUUAUCCGGUUCAUCCUUAUAAUUGGGUUAGGUUGGUAAUAUCUAGUUAUAUUUUAUAGAUAGGUUUGUUCAAGGCCACUUAAAACUAAUCUCCCAGCUGAAAUGCAACAUUCCAAUAGGCUGUGGUUUGUUACUGGCUAGAUUUGCAGAUGCUCAGGUAUAUAUAGCUCCAGAGCACCUGUGCUAUUCAUAUUGAUUGUUAGCACAGGCUAAUACACUGACAUAGCAUGUCUUGAUCUGGGAUGCUAGUGGGGAGGAGGGUUGACAUUGUCUGCACAUGCACCAAAAAACACAAGGGUAAGAAGAUAAUAUCUAGGGUGGGAUUUACCUUACAAACCCCAUCAGUAGAAGCCCUGCGCAAGGGCUUCAGCUUGUGCAAUGGGGCUUUCCUCCCUCUCCUUCCCUGUGCCCCUGAAGUGCCCUCUGAAAUUGGCUUGUGGGAGCCAGGAUAACGCCCAGAACAGUGUGCAGGGGAAUGGGGAUGGGAGAUUAUUCCAUAGGACACGCUGAAGUGCUUGUGAAGAUGGAACUGAAGUGCUGAAUUCUACUCAAAGGGUUGUGUGACUCAGUGCUGUGUGAGCAGUGUUCCACUCGCACAAAGAGACUUCUUCUAUUUCUCCUUACCCAACCCUCUGGAGCAGAUUUUGAGACUGUGCGUGGGCUGCAGGGGAAAGAGGAGGAGUUAUGUUGCAGAAGAUUGCUUAGUGAGCGGAACAGCAGUGUUGGAUACAACCAUUAGGCUGCAACCCAAUGCCUACCUACUUGGAAGCCCUGCUACAUUAACUGGGAUUUACUUCUGAGUAAACAUGCUGUUGGUUGGUUGAGAUGGUUGGAUAGUGUUGUUGAAGCUACCAGCAUGAGUUUGACCAAACUGUGGGAGGCAGUGGAAGACAGGAGUGCCUGGCGUGCUCUGGUCCAUGGGGUCACGAAGAGUCGGACAUGACUAAACAACAACAACAAACAUGCUGUAGGAGACCUUUGCAGAAUGAUGUAAAACAGGGAUGGAGAACCUACAACUCUACCUUUGGCCCUUAGUAUUAUCCAGCUGUCUAGGUACUGCAGGCCCACUCUUGCUCUGAGCCCCUCUGAGAAUCACUUGAGACAUAUGUAUAUAAAGGAUGGAGCACAUGCCAUCAUACAGUGCUGCCAAUUCCACCCCACUUUGGGUUCUGGCUCCACACAUCAUUGGCUGCAUCCCCUGACUGACUUUUCCUGUGGGUAAACAGCUCUUCAUAGGAAACAGGUUCCCAACCCCAGUGCAAAAAACGGUGGCAACAAAUGGAGUUAAAAACUUGUCUCAGAACUGAAAUCUGUUAGACAAGCAUCAUAAUCACUGUUGGCAUGGAGGGCAAAGGAGGUAAGAUAUUAAACAUGUUCAAUCCCUAACAUUACUGUAUUGGCUCAAAAGGAAUGCUGUGUUUUGAUGCACUAUAGAGAAACUCCACAUGGUUGGUUAGGGUUACAUUUAUGCCAGCAUAAUUGAGUGGAACAAGAUGGGGUCCAAAAAAGAAAUUUUGUCUCUGCUCGAUUCUCGUAAAAAAGAGAAAGAGAAAAGACAAUUUUAAAAAAUGUUUUCCUUCUUUGUUCAGCUCAGUAAUGUAGACAGUGAGUCACUCAAGCCGUCCCUGCACUGCAUUAGAAUAGCCAUCAAAGUCAGUCUAGAUCAUUUGGAUCAUGUCACUUGUCCUGAAACGUGUAGCUGUUUUUAAAGAAAGAACAUGUCAUGUUCUUUAUGAGGAUCUUUAAUGCAUGAAACUUGUUUAAAGCUUUAAUAAAUCAAGUCAUCACUCUUCAUCCUAUGUCUGAUCCUUAUGCAUGGCAGUCUUAUGUCUUUCUCUUGGGCUAAGAAAAAGACGAGAAAUGAAUCCUCUGCUCAAAAAGGUUACUAAUAAUUUCAUACAAAAAUAUAAAAUAUAUAGAUUAGAAGGUGAAAGCAGUGCCUGUAGUUGGCUGCAAUGCAGGCAAUGCUAUUCCUCAAUAAACAUUUAAGAAUUUCUACAAAGAGUGGCUUUUUCAUUUAUAACUGGAUCACUAAAUCUUCCAUUUCCUCUUGAAAAAGAUCAGGGGAAACUUUGGCAUACCGGUAGCAUGGGAUGUGACAUGGGAAUCUGUAUCUGGAGGGGGUGUCAGAAACCAGGAUGGGUGUAAGUGCCUUUCAUUUUGUAGUUCAGCAAGGUUGGAUCCAAGCCAUCUUUGUCUACUCUACUCUAAGCCUUUUCAUUUACUGACUUUUCAAAUCUUAAGUUCCAACCACUCCUGUCUUUGUAGCUGACUUAAACAUGCGGCACAAUGUGUGAAGUGUUUUGAUUUGUUGCCAUGAUGACAGUGUCAACUUAACUACAGCUGACAAACAGUUUUUAAAUAGAACAUUUCAAUUCAUUAUAGUAUUCUCCAUCUGUUUUCUCUCUCCCUAUCCCAUCUCUUUACUUAUGCAAAACAUGGAGAAAAUUUUAUUGCAAUGAGUUAGUGAUUUUAGUCAUGCUGGCCACUUGACCCGGAAAGCUGUCUGCGGACAAACGUCGGCUCCCUCAGCCUGAAAGCAGAGAGGAGCGCCACACCCCAUAGUUGUCUUUGACUGGACUCAACCAUCCAGGGGUCCUUUACCUUUACCAUUAGUAAAAGUUAUAUCUC
Podarcis lilfordi (Lilford's wall lizard) is the source of this 5560-nucleotide non-coding RNA. Lineage: Eukaryota; Metazoa; Chordata; Lepidosauria; Squamata; Lacertidae. The record is from the annotation of a GenBank genome assembly.